UACGAAGGGGGCUAGCGUUGCUCGGAUUGACUGGGCGUAAAGGGCGCGUAGGCGGUUCGUACAGUCAGACGUGAAAUUCCUGGGCUCAACCUGGGGGCUGCGUUUGAUACGUGCGGACUUGAGUGCGGAAGAGGGUCGUGGAAUUCCCAGUGUAGAGGUGAAAUUCGUAGAUAUUGGGAAGAACACCGGUGGCGAAGGCGGCCAUCUGGACCGAUACUGACGCUGAGGCGCGAAAGCGUGGGGAGCAAACAGG
This 253-nucleotide ribosomal RNA is filed under the name uncultured bacterium. Its description in RNAcentral is "partial 16S ribosomal RNA". It matches the Rfam family "Bacterial small subunit ribosomal RNA", at positions 524 to 776 of the family's 1533-position model. The record is from RNAcentral.